This 103-nucleotide microRNA precursor is filed under the name Marmota monax (woodchuck). The record is from RNAcentral. Lineage: Eukaryota; Metazoa; Chordata; Mammalia; Rodentia; Sciuridae.
AGCUUGAUUGCUAAACCAUAUGGUAAAAGUAAGUUUAGCUUUGUAAGAAACUGCCAAACUGUCUUCCAGAGUGUCUGUGCCAUUUUGCAUUUCUCCCAGCAAU